UAGAUGGACACAAUAUCUUUAUUUUUUUAUGUAGUGUGGCAAUUUGAACUCAGUGCCUGACACAUGAUAGGCAAGCGCUCUACUACUGAGCCACAACCCCAGCCCGAUUUCCUUGUGUUUGAGUCAAGAGAAUUAUUUAAAAGGUGUCAUGGCAAUAUGAGGGCCCAUGUAAACCACUGUGUCCAAAAUCAAGUAGCUAAAUAUAUUUUUCCUUUUUCCAAGAAGUCAAGGCUUUGAUAAUAUAUGGAAGCUCACGGAAUGCCAGAUGUCCUAUUAAUAGCCUUAUCAUAAUUGUUUUCAGCCCCAACCCCCACAGAGUCCAUCCAAGCAUGGAAUCUGCCUCAGGACAGAACAGGCCUCUAGGCAUAAAAUCAAACACUGUUAGAUUUAUCAGUUAUGCAGGUAAAGUGCUUCCCCUUCUGAGAGACAGGGUCCAAAUAAAUACAGGUAACUCCAACUCACUCAGGUAUAACCUUUCCUUUAUGGAAGGAAAAGCUUCAAGUUAGCAGUGGUUCAGAAUGGGCCUUUCACACCUGGAAGCCACGGUCUAGGAUUCAGUCUGGAAGUGUGGCGAUGUGUGUUGGGCCCACAUCACUUGUGUCACCUUCAACAGAAAAGUUCUGUGUCUACAAAUGUAAUGCUUUGGUCUGGAUGUGGUGGUGCACACCUGGAAUCCCAGCUCUUCUGGAGGGUGAAACAGGAGGAUCAAAAGUUUAAGAUCAGCUUACGCAACUUAGUGAGACCAUGUCUCAAAAUAAAUGAAUAGGACUGGGAUUGCAGCUCAGUGGUACAGCACCCCUGGCUUCAAUCCCCACAACCUGGAAAAAAACAAAAACAACAACAACAAAAAAAAA
RNAcentral lists this long non-coding RNA (854 nucleotides) under Marmota monax (woodchuck). The record is from RNAcentral. Lineage: Eukaryota; Metazoa; Chordata; Mammalia; Rodentia; Sciuridae.